This 307-nucleotide long non-coding RNA is filed under the name Salmo salar (Atlantic salmon). RNAcentral's name for it is "lncRNA (ENSSSAG00000099515.1, ENSSSAG00000114261.1, ENSSSAG00020013064.1)". The record is from RNAcentral. Lineage: Eukaryota; Metazoa; Chordata; Actinopteri; Salmoniformes; Salmonidae.
GCUUGCUCUCUUUCUCCCUGCUCCUCCAGCAGGUUGGAUAUGGCUUGACUCACCAAGGGUAAAAGAAGCACAGUAAUUGGCAAUCUGUCCCAUCCCUACGAUAAACUACAAGGCACAGACCAUCUUCCAGCUGUUGGAGGCAGCCUGCAGUAUACUGAAAAUGGUCUGGAGUGCCAUAGUAGCAAAGAAAAUGAACCUCCGACCAUACCUGAUGAGAAGAGAAAAGUUGCACUUGCUUGCUGUGUAAGCAUCAUUAUAGAAUAUUGAGACUUGCUGUACACUUGAUUUACAGCUCUAGAGAUAUUGG